CUCCAGUGAUGAGCUUGCCAUGCUAAUACUGAUGCACCAGGCACGGCCGCGUGUCUGUCUGGGUGUAAGUGAGUUAAUUUCGCCUUCUCACACUGACGGUGUGCGCUGAGGAGA
Molecule: small nucleolar RNA, 114 nt
Organism: Conger conger (European conger)
Lineage: Eukaryota; Metazoa; Chordata; Actinopteri; Anguilliformes; Congridae
Source: RefSeq, a predicted model, not a curated record